RNA transcript from Mus musculus (house mouse), 3448 nucleotides. It is a transcript of the gene named RNA binding motif protein 24, with no coding region annotated. The transcript has 5 exons. The record is from RefSeq and is marked provisional. Lineage: Eukaryota; Metazoa; Chordata; Mammalia; Rodentia; Muridae.
UGGGUCCCUGCGGGAAUCGCCAGGGGUCUUUGCGACUUUGACCAGUAGGAGCAGGCAACAACAGAGCCAGGCCGCCUCCAGCCGUUUCCAACUCUGCCCCAGCAACAGCGCCAGAGCCCCAGCCAGGCGACCCAGCGCCCGCGCGCGGGGAGAGAAGCAGCUGUUCCCAACAGCUGGGGGGCGGCGGCGCCGGGCGCCCCAGGUGCUGUCCCGGCCAAUCGCAGGCGUCCGGCCCGCCCCCUCCCCAGCCGGGCGUCGACCCCCAGGGCCGCUGGGGAAAAAGGAAUAGAGGGUUGGAGAGCGGUCCUCCGUCCGCACUGGUGUGGCAGCUACUAAGCAGAAGGGACGGUUCCCAGACCGAGCCGGGCCCAGCACCGCGCCCCCAGCUGCCACCUCCGCGCCCCCGGGACACGGUAGCCUCUGAGCCAACCCCCAUCCCACUAAGCCACUCGAUUUUUUGAGAAAGAACCAUCUACCUCUUCUGGACUUGGAGACCACCACCCUCUCUGCAUUUAAGAAAAAAAAUAUUUUUAUUUUAUUUUUACUUUCACGCGGCGUGAGUGCAAAAGGCUCCCACAGUCCGCGGCUACGGAGCUGGUUACCCGGACGAUCCGGAAGGUCUGGACAGUGACCGGACGCGGGGACUGGAGCAGAGCGCCUGGGCGAGUGUCGGGGACAGUGGGCCACUUGGGAAGCCGCGCGCCCAGCGCCCACGCCGCCCCCUCGCCCCCGCGCGCGCCCUCGGCCCCCGGCGGCCGCCGCGCGCUGCGGGAGACGCGGAGCCCGAGGACCAGGCGCAGCCGCAGCCGCAGCCGGAGCCCGAGCCGCGGGGCGGGCGCGAAGAUGCACACCACCCAGAAGGACACGACGUACACCAAGAUCUUCGUGGGAGGGCUGCCCUACCACACCACCGACGCCAGCCUGCGCAAGUACUUUGAGGUCUUCGGAGACAUCGAGGAAGCGGUGGUCAUCACAGACCGGCAGACCGGCAAGUCCCGGGGCUACGGAUUUGUCACCAUGGCUGACAGGGCUGCCGCUGAAAGGGCCUGCAAGGAUCCCAACCCCAUCAUCGAUGGUAGGAAGGCCAAUGUGAAUCUGGCAUACUUGGGAGCAAAACCAAGAAUCAUGCAGCCAGGUUUUGCCUUUGGCGUUCAACAGCUUCACCCAGCCCUUAUCCAGAGACCUUUCGGGGCUCGUAUACAGUUAAGCUAACUGAUCAGAAGGAUGCGGUGAUGAGAGGUGGACUAGUUCUGUUUGGAGUUAAACUCUGUAACCAGUAGACUCAGACACACAAGCUCAGAUGGAUCCCCGCCCACUACGUCUACCCGCAGGCUUUUGUGCAGCCUGGAGUGGUCAUUCCCCAUGUGCAGCCCACAGCAGCCGCGGCUUCCACCACACCGUACAUUGAUUACACUGGAGCCGCCUACGCUCAGUACUCCGCUGCCGCAGCCGCCGCCGCAGCGGCCGCUGCCUAUGACCAGUACCCCUAUGCAGCAUCCCCAGCUGCUGCAGGCUAUGUAACCACUGGGGGCUACAGCUAUGCUGUCCAACAGCCCAUCACCGCCGCUGCGCCCGGGACAGCUGCUGCUGCGGCUGCAGCUGCUGCAGCCGCAGCCGCCUUUGGCCAGUACCAGCCUCAACAGCUGCAGACAGACCGAAUGCAGUAGACCAGCUGUCUGAUCAAAGUCAAAAGGGUUUCUCUUUUCCUCCUGAUCUCCCAGUUUUUUAGUAGCUAAUGAGAAAGUUAACAGUUGACCUGCCGGCUUUAAAGGGAGAAGGCAAGGCUAGUGUGAAGCAGAGGUGUUACUUUUUACCAUACUCCCGGUAGUGCUACAGGUGAUAAGGGGAGAAAGGGAGGGCGAGAAACAGUUUUUGAAGUCAAUCCCAAAGAGCCCGAGUUACACAGAAUAGCCACUAGGAGAUGAUGGCAGGGGUACCAAUGGGACUUCACUUUUGUAUGGGGAUUUUUAUUUUUUGCUCUUUUUUUAUAGUAUCAGGGAAGCAAACUGCCUUUUCCAAGUUAGAAAAUGCUAUGUGAAUCUAGUUGAACCAGGGAAUACGGAGUGAGCAAUAUGUAGCUUGAAUUACGCGUAAAAGUAGAUUUAAAAAGAAAAGAAAAGAAAACAAGACAGAAAAGCGCUGGUUGUCCUUCGUUGCAGUAACGGCAGGCCUGCAGAACUUUGUUGAGGCAGGAGGUAGUGUGUUUGUGCUAUCUCAGAAGAUGGGCAUCGAACAAUCAGUUUCGGGGUGUGACGGCGGGGACGGUGGUGGACAGGUACCAAAGCUAUUUUCUCAUCUGUCCUGUGGACGAGUGGGGUUGUGGAGCCAUUGAUACUGCACCAGCCGCUCAGACAAUCAACAGCACACACUGUUCAAGAAAGAGUCCAUCACUUGUACUCGUGGGAGGAGCUUGUCCCAUUAUAACUCCUCUCCCCAUUCCCUGUCACUUGGGGAUGAUUUCAUCUGCGGGUCAGGCUUUCACCACACCACUUGUCUUUCUAUUUAUUACAUAGACUAGAGGAUUAUGGGUAAAGGCAGGCAGAAGUUGCAGAUGCUCGCCCCUUCGGGACUGUCUGAAGGACCUUUCUUUUCCUCCUGCCCCACCCCUCCCCCUUUAAAAUAAUUUGACACGUUUUUCGUAUCUAUUUCAGAGUCCUAUUUAAAACUAUUUAUUAGUGACUACAGUACCUAAGACAGCAAGGUUCUUGACAUUACAGUUCUCCGACAGUUGAUGAUCUUGUACUUUAUAAUGUGCCUUAAUAAUAAUCCUAUUUAAGAUAUUUAUUUUUAAGUUUUACUAUGCUGCACUCUAAAGGAAGGAACUUUAGAAGUGACACUGUAAAAUUAUGUAUUCAUCUCAUGGCAUAAGUUAUUCAGUAGGUCUAGAUGUAGCAUAUUAAAUAUUAACCUAUUCAACUAAAGACGUUGGCUUUGGAUUUAUUUAAAUUCAUAUGUGCACUGUUCGGGUGGGUACUCUUGCCUAAACAUAUUUGAGUUUAUUUUAGUCUUGAGUUGUUUUACUUUUUUUUUUUUUUUAAACAAGCUACAUCGCUGGUUCUGUGCUUCCUCAAUUGCUUUCCCCCUGUGGAUCUCAUGUACCGGGGACUCAUGGCAUCCCCGCUUUCCUCGUGUAGUGUAUGUAGUUUUAAAAGACGGCUUUAUAUUUUUCCUUCUGAAAGUGAGAUACUUGCAAUUUUUACUCUUAAACUAAAAUGAAUACUAUUUUACACUGUAUUGGACUUUUAUACUUGAAGAACUUCCUACAAUGGAUAAUUUUUAUGGACUCUCUCCAUUGUCACUGGAUUUAAGUAUUCCUGUGCCGGGCAGUGGUCCGCAAAGGAGGGCGUGGCUCUCCUGUGCAAAUUAUUUAUUUGUUGUGUAUUUCGCUUUAUAAUGUUUCAGAUCUUCUCAUCUAUUCACUUGUAUUAAAUAUAAUUUUUAAAAACUG